Molecule: ribosomal RNA, 515 nt
Filed under: uncultured bacterium
Lineage: Bacteria
Description: partial 16S ribosomal RNA
Rfam family: Bacterial small subunit ribosomal RNA
Source: RNAcentral
AACGAACGCUGGCGGCGUGCUUAACACAUGCAAGUCGAACGCGAAAGGGACUUCGGUCCUGAGUAAAGUGGCGCACGGGUGAGUAACGCGUAGAUAACCUGUCUUCGUGUCUGGAAUAAUACGCCGAAAGGUGUACUAAUACCGGAUAUUCUUGCUUUAUAUAAGUUUUGCAAGCAAAGGUGGCCUCUGCAUAUGCUACCGCAUGAAGAGGGGUCUGCGUACCAUUAGCUAGUAGGUGGGGUAAUGGCCUACCUAGGCGACGAUGGUUAGCGGGUCGUAGAGGAUGGUGCGCCACACUGGCACUGGAACACGGGCCAGACUCCUACGGGAGGCAGCAGUGAGGAAUAUUGCGCAAUGGGGGCAACCCUGACGCAGCGACGCCGCGUGAGUGAGGAAGGCCUUCGGGUCGUAAAGCUCUGUCAAGAGGAAAGAAGUGCAUAGCGGUUAAUACCCGUUAUGUUUGACGGUACCUCUAAAGGAAGCACCGGCUAACUCCGUGCCAGCCGCCGCCGUAA